Molecule: ribosomal RNA, 161 nt
Filed under: uncultured bacterium
Lineage: Bacteria
Description: partial 16S ribosomal RNA
Rfam family: Bacterial small subunit ribosomal RNA
Source: RNAcentral
GGAAUCUUCCACAAUGGGCGCAAGCCUGAUGGAGCAACACCGCGUGAGUGAAGAAGGGCUUCGGCUCGUAAAGCUCUGUUGUUAAAGAAGAACACGUAUGAGAGUAACUGUUCAUACGUUGACGGUAUUUAACCAGAAAGUCACGGCUAACUACGUGCCAG